This 923-nucleotide long non-coding RNA is filed under the name Trifolium pratense (red clover). Its description in RNAcentral is "long non-coding RNA (TPRA_LNC006660)". Lineage: Eukaryota; Viridiplantae; Streptophyta; Magnoliopsida; Fabales; Fabaceae. The record is from RNAcentral.
AUGCAAAACUCUAGGGAAAAUCAUGUAAAUUGUUUGUGAUUAUUUUUGACUAAAAAUAUUGACUUUGUGUUAAAUGUGAGUGUGUGUAUGAUAGUAAGAUCAGUAGAUAAAAUUUUAAUUAGGUAUUAAAUGCAUUAUAGGCACUUUUUAGCAUGGUGUUUAGGAUUACCUUAUUUUUUUUAGUAUUUAUUCAAUGUAAUCACAAAACAAGCCCAACUAGGGGUUGCCACUUAUAGUGUUAUUACUUGACAUUAUUAUCAAUACAGAUGUGGGGAGUCAUGUGUGGACAACUGGGGAGUCAGUGAACAUAUUUGGUUAACUUUCUUAAACUCUUCCAAACUUAAAAAAAUGAUUCACCUUUAACUUAGUUUUAACUUUAUCAUCUACAAAAAAAUCAGAAGUGUGACUCAUAUACAAUGUCACUCAUAAAUAAAUAGUGUGAUUACUUGAUAUUACUACCAAUACAGAUGUGGGGAGUCAUGUGAGGACAACCGGGGAGUUGGAAAACAUAUCUGGUUAACUGUCUUAAAAUNNNNNNNNNNNNNNNNNNNNNNNNNNNNNNNNNNNNNNNUCAUCAUUUGUAAACAAUCAGAAGUGUGUCACAUAUACAAUGUCACUGGUGAACAAAUUGUGAGAUUCCUUAAAAUAAUAACCAAUACAGAUUUGGGGAGUCAUGUAUAGAUAACUCGGGAGUUGGGAAACAAAUUUGGCUAACUGUCUUAAGGAUAAACAGAGCUUCAGAUAACAAAUUGCAACAAGGAGAGUGAGAAAGAGAUCACAUUGCAGCGAGGAGAGCGAGAGAUCGCACGCAGUGAGUAGAGCGAGAGACAUAACAAGACACAUACAAGAAGGCGAGAGAUCUGAUUGUUAGUAGAUGAUAAAGUUAAAACAAAGUUAAAUGUGAACGAUUUUUUCAAAUUUGG